Long non-coding RNA from Ictalurus punctatus (channel catfish), 2342 nucleotides. The record is from Ensembl. Lineage: Eukaryota; Metazoa; Chordata; Actinopteri; Siluriformes; Ictaluridae.
AUUCCUGCCAUGGAGAACACCACCACAUUGUCCUGCAGAAACAUUUCUGAUGGUGAUGGUUACACUUACAAAGUGCCGUCUUAUAUACCAUCUGCUCUACUGCAGGACGAGGACUGUGAGCAAGAGUGGAUAAAUAAGGCAAGGGAGUUUUUGUCAGAUGGACAUCAUCAUGCAAAUAAAACUGAGCACCCACUGGUUCGUAAUGAAACCAUAAAAAACAUCAAAGUCUCCGAAUGCAUCGAGCUUCGCCAUUCUGUGACCUGUCAUGGAUCGAGUCAAAAGUUUAAACACACUUACCGAGUGAUCAAUGACACGAUCUCAAGCCAAGAUGUUCCUAAGCAGCAAACCGAUCGCACCACCACCAUCGUCUCUGUCGUCAUUCCGAUUGGACUCCUGCUGAUUGGACUCCUGAUUAGUGUCCUGAUAUGUCUCCACAAAAAACGAAGAUCAGACAUCCCACUGGAGGACAUUACAGCAAGAAACACGGAAGGUGAAGCUCAACUGAACACCUCAAAUACUGAAAACAUGGACCCUGGUGAUACGAGCGCUAACGGCGAUGUUCAAACUGAAGAAGCUCGACCACUCCAACCAUAUCCUUACAGUUGAUGUGUGCAGAGUCGUCGAGAGCGAGUGAGGAUUACGGUUCGGCUUCAGAACUUCUCUCCAGUCUGCUUCUGCCUUUUCUUCAGUCGCACUUUCCCUACACUUUUGCAUCUGGGACACUUUGAAAGUAAAAUUAAGUAGUUAAACUGAGACCGUGGUAUUAUAGGGCUCUACAUAAAAGUGCCAAAUUUUUAAUCAUGACAAAGCAGAUCAAAUUUUUAUACUUUAAUAGUGUUUUGGUGUAAAAAAUAUAUUUUCAUAUAUAUUACUUGCUAUAAAAAUAACAUUUAUAAGAACUAAUUUUUGCCAAAGAAAGGGAAGCUCAAACCAAAGAACCCCAAGAAAAAAAAAAAAACACUUUUCUGCACUUUAAAACACUGCACAUCCUUCUGCACUUUUGUUAUGCUCUACCCUUUUAACUGUGACGAUAGCUGGGGCUGGGCAGCUUCGAGUUGUCAACACUCACCUGAUUGCGCUCCUGGUUUUGACUGCUUCAUCCGAUCCGUGUUUUACUCUGCUAUUUCCGGUAUUGAACUGUGCCAGUUGUGACUAUGAACUUGAUCUUUGCCUUGAUUUUUGUUGGCUACGUAGCUACUGUGUGUGGGAGGCUGCACCAGAACAUCUCUACUACCCUACUACACAGUAGAUGAAAAGCAGUACACCAAAGGAGGAGCAUCUCAGAAUUCUCAGCAUUCAUACAACAGUAUUUAAGAAAUCCCCAGAUGACCUACUGCUUCCCCCGAGAUUCUGCAGUGUGGAAUAACUGGACACUGUGCUAUCCCAUAAUGCAACGUGGCAUGGAAGAGCUGUCAGAAUCAAACCUGGCGCAUCGGCUUUUUAAGCUGUAGGUCACAUGACUAUGCCAACCUGGUGGCUGUAGUGCUUAUAAGCCCUUUCCUUAACUUGCACUGUGGGGCCAAACCUUAGACUGGGUUGUCAUCAACACUACUCUACGUCAUUGAAUCAACGCUAUAGAGAGCACAGCUGGUGGCUUCAUCAGCAGCCCAGUGCUUGUUCCUUUUUAUUUUCUCAUUGUGAUUGACCUUUGCUAUCUCCUUUAUUUUUUAUGUCUGUAAUUUUUUUUGUGCAUGUGUAAAUUUGUUAGCAUUCUUUAUAUACUGUUACCAGGUGUAGGGUUCAGCUGCCAUUUCUUUCUGGGUUUUGUCUGUUUUAUUUUAUUUUUAUUUAUUUUAUAUUACCAAUAUUGCACAAGUAUGUGUGUAUGUAAUUCAUAAACCGAAGUAUUCUUAGUAGUCUUUUUUUCUUUUUCUUUAGCCAUCCAUCUUUUAUCCCAGUCAAACCUAUCCUGUUAUCUUCAACCCUAGACUGGGGUGCAUCACUGUCCUCCAUUCCAGAAAAUCUGAGACAGCAACAAAAGAGAGACAAUUUUUAGAAAGUAACAAGUCUGUUUUUACAGAAGGAAGGGAAUUGGUGGCGCAACCUAUCAUAACCCUGUAACAGGAAGUCUUAUUUCUGCCCCCAUAAUGGUGAAAUUUAACUUGGCUCAGGAGCAGAUCGAGUGGAAAGUAAAGUGCACAUGUCUCAGUGCUUCUGAUAUUUUAACAAAAAUAUAUUUGGACGCUCAAUUCGUUACCCCACUCUCACUAAUAAACUCUCUCUGUGUGUGUGUAUGUGUGAGAGCAAGAGAGAGAUUGAUAACACCUGUCUGUUCAGAUCUGUGACACAAGUUAGUAAGAAAAUAAAGUUGAUAAUAAGUAAGCAAGAGGGAGGUUUCAUAC